AAGCAGCGUCCCGGAGCGGGCCCAGGCCCGUCGGUGACGGCGGGCGUUGGAUGCCGGGAGAGGCCUGGGCGCAGGGCUCCAGCGCCGGCCUUGGCUUCAAGAGUUGGCUCUGCUGACCAUCCAGCCCCGACUGCAGCACUAUGACCAGGCUAACAUGGACACAGCCAAAUGGAUAAAAGAGUGUGAGGAAUAUCUGCAUCAUGAGAUGACUUGGCUGCUGCAGGUGAUAGAGGGGAAGAGGGGCACCAUGGAAGCCCCACUCCCUUCUGCAGUGCAGCAGCAGUGUCUGUUUUAAGGUGCUGUAUCAGCCCUCGUCCUGGUCACUGUUGGCUGCUGGCUGGACAGACAAAGGAAGCCUGCCUCUGCCAGCUGCAGGGACCAGGAAAGCUCCAGCAGCAAGAAGUAGGACAAUGGCCAGAAGUUCAAAGAUGCCCACAAUGGUCUGAGAUGCUUGUGAUCACCCCAUUCAUCACCAAUGGAAACAUUCAAGCUGACACUGGAUGGGGCUGACCUGCCCAGCACUUGAAGCAUGGACCAGCGUGAUAGAAUCAAGACCAGUAAUUUCAUCAUCUUCUAAGCUCAAAGGCAUUGAAUGGGAAGAACUGAGAGAUUAAAUGAGGCACUGGAGAGAUGAGAAAACUGGAGCAGAGAGCAGAGGUGAGAGGCUGGUGAAAGUUAAUGUGCUGGUAUAUCAAUGGGGUGGCAAUCAAUAGCAGGGCUGAAAGCUCUCUAGGGAGAUCUUCAGUCUGCCAGGCCAAAAUAAAAAAAUCCAAAGGCUGAAAUUCCAUGGGAGAGGUGGAGAGAGAGGAAGGGAGGAGGGCACAGGCACUUCAGUCCCUAGUGUGGGGCUGUGACACCUGUGGGGAGACAUGCUCCCAUGCCAGCAGUUCCACAGUGUCCCAUGCUCCCAGAGCUUUCCAUAGCUUACCUAUUUCUCUGUGAGGCCAGAGGGGAAAGAAGAUGGGUGGAAGAAUGGAGGAAAUGCAAAGCUUUGUGAACCAUGACAUAGCCCAUGUCUUUCUCAGGCUGAGCAUCAUAUAGGAACAGCAGUCAAGAUCUCACUACCAAAUCAAAGGCAGUUCAAAGGAACAAAAUGUCCCUUGCAGCAAGGUACAAACAGUGAAGUCAAGUGGACUGGUCCAAACCAGGAAGCAGCAGCAGCUAAUGGGGAAAAAACAGUGGGUGUGAAAGGGCUCUUUGUCCCAGCAGGAAGGUGAAGGGUGCCCAGAAGCUGGGCAGUGGGAUGCACCCUGACCGGAACACAGGGCAGGCUUGUUUGCAGUGCAGGGUGCAGGCUUCUAGAGUAGAGGUGCUUUUACAUGCUGGUCCUUUUUGACGCCAGACAACCCCCUGCCUGGAAGGUGCUUUGACUAAACAACAGAAUGGCUCAGCUGAUGCACUGCAGAAGAGGAAGCUCCUCCAGGCCCAGUGUGGGAGGCUGCAGCUCACAGCAAACUUUGUGACCUUGGGAAGAUGAACUGAAGAUGACCACCCCAUACACAGGGAGCUUUUUUCCCUGCUCUAGAAGGCCUUAGAACCACAAAACAGAAUUGCUGGGCCAUGGAGAAGGCAGGAGGCCAGCAGCACCUGGGCAGGAAAGAGAUGCAAUCUCAACACCCUCCUUUCCUGACCCAAGAGGCACAGCAAAUAAAGGA
This is a long non-coding RNA of Vidua chalybeata, 1655 nucleotides long. RefSeq lists it as uncharacterized. The transcript is spliced from 5 exons. Lineage: Eukaryota; Metazoa; Chordata; Aves; Passeriformes; Viduidae. The record is from RefSeq and is a predicted model, not a curated record.